UACGGAGGGGGCAAGCGUUAUUCGGAAUUAUUGGGCGUAAAGGGCGCGUAGGCGGCUAGAUGUGUCAAAGGUGAAAUCCCUCGGCUCAACUGAGGAACUGCCUUUGAAACUGUCUGGCUGGAGUUCGGGAGAGGGAUGCGGAAUUCCAGGUGUAGCGGUGAAAUGCGUAGAUAUCUGGAGGAACACCGGUGGCGAAGGCGGCGAGCUGGUCCAUUACUGACGCUGAGGCGCGACAGCGUGGGGAGCAAACAGG
This 253-nucleotide ribosomal RNA is filed under the name uncultured bacterium. Its description in RNAcentral is "partial 16S ribosomal RNA". It matches the Rfam family "Bacterial small subunit ribosomal RNA", at positions 524 to 776 of the family's 1533-position model. The record is from RNAcentral.